This 574-nucleotide ribosomal RNA is filed under the name uncultured bacterium. RNAcentral's name for it is "bacterial SSU rRNA". It matches the Rfam family "Bacterial small subunit ribosomal RNA", at positions 338 to 916 of the family's 1533-position model. The record is from RNAcentral.
CCUACGGGAGGCAGCAGUAGGGAAUAUUGGGCAAUGGGCGAGAGCCUGACCCAGCCAUGCCGCGUGCAGGAUGAAGGCCUUCUGGGUUGUAAACUGCUUUUCUCAGGGAAGAAAAAGAGGAUGCGUCCUAAACUGACGGUACCUGAGGAAUAAGCACCGGCUAACUCCGUGCCAGCAGCCGCGGUAAUACGGAGGGUGCAAGCGUUGUCCGGAUUUAUUGGGUUUAAAGGGUGCGUAGGCGGCCCGUUAAGUCCGGGGUGAAAGCCCACAGCUCAACUGUGGAACUGCCCUGGAUACUGGCGGGCUUGAGUCCAGACGAGGUUGGCGGAAUGGAAGGUGUAGCGGUGAAAUGCAUAGAUACCUUCCAGAACCCCGAUUGCGUAGGCAGCUGACUAGGCUGGUACUGACGCUGAGGCACGAAAGCGUGGGGAGCGAACAGGAUUAGAUACCCUGGUAGUCCACGCCGUAAACGAUGGAUACUCGCUGGUGGCGAUAGACAGUCACUGGCUUAGCGAAAGCGGUAAGUAUCCACCUGGGGAGUACGCUCGCAGAGUGAAACUCAAGGAAUUGACGG